This 228-nucleotide ribosomal RNA is filed under the name Shigella flexneri. Its description in RNAcentral is "partial 16S ribosomal RNA". It matches the Rfam family "Bacterial small subunit ribosomal RNA", at positions 785 to 1012 of the family's 1533-position model. The record is from RNAcentral. Lineage: Bacteria; Pseudomonadati; Pseudomonadota; Gammaproteobacteria; Enterobacterales; Enterobacteriaceae.
CCCUGGUAGUCCACGCCGUAAACGAUGUCGACUUGGAGGUUGUGCCCUUGAAGUGUGGCUUCCGGAGCUAACGCGUUAAGUCGACCGCCUGGGGAGUACGGCCGCAAGGUUAAAACUCAAAUGAAUUGACGGGGGCCCGCACAAGCGGUGGAGCAUGUGGUUUAAUUCGAUGCAACGCGAAGAACCUUACCUGGUCUUGACAUCCACGGAAGUUUUCAGAGAUGAGAA